RNAcentral lists this ribosomal RNA (497 nucleotides) under uncultured bacterium. Its description in RNAcentral is "partial 16S ribosomal RNA". It matches the Rfam family "Bacterial small subunit ribosomal RNA", at positions 28 to 507 of the family's 1533-position model. The record is from RNAcentral.
GACGAACGCUGGCGGCGUGCCUAAUACAUGCAAGUUGAGCGAUGAAGAUUGGUGCUUGCCCCAAUUUGAAGAGCAGCGAACGGGUGAGUAACGCGUAGGGAAUCUGCCUUUGAGCGGGGGACAACAUUUGGAAACGAAUGCUAAUACCGCAUAAUAACUUUAAACAUAAGUUUUAAGUUUGAAAGAUGCAAUUGCAUCACUCAAAGAUGAUCCCGCGUUGUAUUAGCUAGUUGGUGAGGUAAAGGCGCACCAAGGCGAUGAUACAUAGCCGACCUGAGAGGGUGAUCGGCCACAUUGGGACUGAGACACGGCCCAAACUCCUACGGGAGGCAGCAGUAGGGAAUCUUCGGCAAUGGACGAAAGUCUGACCGAGCAACGCCGCGUGAGUGAAGAAGGUUUUCGGAUCGUAAAACUCUGUUGGUAGAGAAGAACGUUGGUGAGAGUGGAAAGCUCAUCAAGUGACGGUAACUACCCAGAAAGGGACGGCUAACUACGUG